Bos taurus (domestic cattle) is the source of this 496-nucleotide long non-coding RNA. NCBI's taxonomy places the organism in Eukaryota, Metazoa, Chordata, Mammalia, Artiodactyla, Bovidae. The record is from Ensembl.
GCACAGUCUCAGGGGACCCCAGGGGCCCCUGAUAGAGACAAAGCAGGCUUUAUUGCUGGCACCCCUCCCCCAACCCCCCACCUCCGCAGGAUGGAAUAUCUCUUCUUCCUCAAAUUGCAAGCAGCCUAGAUCAUUCCCCUCACUUCUCAGGGAAGAAAGCCAAGACCCCAAGCGGAAAGACCACCUGCCUGAGUCCACAUGGGCACCAAUCCCUGCUCUGCUGGAGGUCCUUAGACCGUUGACUCUCCUGAACCUCAGUUUCCUGCUCUGUAAAAUGGGCAGGAAAUGUCUCCUGGGGAUGGUGAGCAUAAAGAAGACAUAACGCCCCUGCACGUUAACAGCUACCAUGUCCUAAGCUGGAAGGAUGCUAGGAUGCUGAGAACAAAGGACACAGGUCUUGCCCUCAAGUGGCCCGCAGCCCAGUGAGAGGGAGCCCAAGUGGCUGGUGUCAAGGGCUGCUCUGAGGUGCCCGGUGGAUACUGACUGGUAGAUGGAC